AAUCUAAAUUAGACUAUUCUCUG
This 23-nucleotide transfer RNA is filed under the name Axoclinus nigricaudus (Cortez triplefin). Its description in RNAcentral is "partial tRNA-Pro". The record is from RNAcentral. Lineage: Eukaryota; Metazoa; Chordata; Actinopteri; Blenniiformes; Tripterygiidae.